UGGCUCUCGCAUCGAUGAAGAACGCAGCGAAAUGCGAUAAGUAAUGUGAAUUGCAGAAUUCAGUGAAUCAUCGAAUCUUUGAACGCAAAUUGCGCUCUUUGGUAUUCCGAAGAGCAUGCCUGUUUGAGUGUCAUAAAGACUUACCUUUUCAAGUUUUUGAUCAGGUCUUUGGGUGCUGCCAUUGGCUCACCUUAAAUGCAUCAGUGGAUUGGCGUAACAAGUCUUCGCCUUCACCCCACUUUAAAUCUCUUUUUGCUCUGACCUCAAAUCAGGUAGGACUACCCGCUGA
RNAcentral lists this unclassified non-coding RNA (289 nucleotides) under uncultured fungus. Its description in RNAcentral is "partial contains 5.8S ribosomal RNA and internal transcribed spacer 2". The stretch from base 1 to 133 matches the Rfam family "5.8S ribosomal RNA", at positions 22 to 154 of the family's 154-position model. The record is from RNAcentral. Lineage: Eukaryota; Fungi.